RNAcentral lists this ribosomal RNA (640 nucleotides) under uncultured beta proteobacterium. RNAcentral's name for it is "bacterial SSU rRNA". It matches the Rfam family "Bacterial small subunit ribosomal RNA", at positions 79 to 715 of the family's 1533-position model. The record is from RNAcentral. Lineage: Bacteria; Pseudomonadati; Pseudomonadota; Betaproteobacteria.
UUGCUCCUGGUGGCGAGUGGCGAACGGGUGAGUAAUGCGUCGGAACGUACCGAGUAAUGGGGGAUAACGCACCGAAAGGUGUGCUAAUACCGCAUACGCCCCGAGGGGGAAAGCAGGGGAUCGUAAGACCUUGCGUUAUUCGAGCGGCCGACGUCUGAUUAGCUAGUUGGUGGGGUAAAGGCCUACCAAGGCGACGAUCAGUAGCGGGUCUGAGAGGAUGAUCCGCCACACUGGAACUGAGACACGGUCCAGACUCCUACGGGAGGCAGCAGUGGGGAAUUUUGGACAAUGGGGGCAACCCUGAUCCAGCCAUUCCGCGUGAGUGAAGAAGGCCUUCGGGUUGUAAAGCUCUUUCAGCUGGAACGAAACGGUACGCUCUAACAUAGCGUGCUAAUGACGGUACCAGCAGAAGAAGCACCGGCUAACUACGUGCCAGCAGCCGCGGUAAUACGUAGGGUGCGAGCGUUAAUCGGAAUUACUGGGCGUAAAGCGUGCGCAGGCGGAUUGUUAAGCAAGACGUGAAAUCCCCGGGCUUAACCUGGGAAUGGCGUUUUGAACUGGCAGUCUAGAGUGUGUCAGAGGGGGGUAGAAUUCCACGUGUAGCAGUGAAAUGCGUAGAGAUGUGGAGGAAUACCAAUGG